AGGAGACUGAGGCCCAGGGAGUACUGAGCUUUGCUCCAGGGGAUACAAGUGGGGGAGCUGCUGGUCCAACCCAGGUCUGUCUUUUGGGAAGCAAGAGGCUCCUGGCAGAUGGACACACCAUACUCACCAAGAGCGCUACACUCCCCAGUCUCAGGCGUCCUGUUACAGGAGAGUACAAAAUGGAUGGAGACAAGCAUACAGCGAACUGAGCUUCACAUCCUGUUCAGACUUUGGAAGAUUUCAAAGGAAAUAUUGCUUUGCCUGGCUUAGCUGAAUU
Molecule: long non-coding RNA, 277 nt
Filed under: Fukomys damarensis (Damara mole-rat)
Lineage: Eukaryota; Metazoa; Chordata; Mammalia; Rodentia; Bathyergidae
Description: lncRNA (ENSFDAG00000027399.1)
Source: RNAcentral